UGGGGUUUAGCUCAGUGGUAGAGUGCAUGCUCAGCAUGCACAAGGUCCUGGGUUCAAUCCCCAGUACCUCCA
RNAcentral lists this transfer RNA (72 nucleotides) under Camelus bactrianus (Bactrian camel). It matches the Rfam family "tRNA". Rfam says of the family: Transfer RNA (tRNA) molecules are approximately 80 nucleotides in length. Their secondary structure includes four short double-helical elements and three loops (D, anti-codon, and T loops). RNAcentral also lists the same sequence under 3 other names. The record is from Rfam by way of RNAcentral. Lineage: Eukaryota; Metazoa; Chordata; Mammalia; Artiodactyla; Camelidae.